This 21-nucleotide non-coding RNA is filed under the name Rattus norvegicus (Norway rat). Lineage: Eukaryota; Metazoa; Chordata; Mammalia; Rodentia; Muridae. The record is from RNAcentral.
UUGCCUAGAAAAACUCAGUCU